UCCCUGGUGGCUCAGAUGGUAAAGUAUCUGUUUGCAAUGCAGAAGACAUGGGUUCCAUCCCCAAGUUGGGAA
RNAcentral lists this transfer RNA (72 nucleotides) under Ovis aries (sheep). It matches the Rfam family "tRNA". Rfam says of the family: Transfer RNA (tRNA) molecules are approximately 80 nucleotides in length. Lineage: Eukaryota; Metazoa; Chordata; Mammalia; Artiodactyla; Bovidae. The record is from Rfam by way of RNAcentral.